CACGUAGGGGACGAGCGUUGUCCGGAAUUAUUGGGCGUAAAGGGCUCGUAGGCGGUUUGUCGCGUCGGGAGUGAAAACCCAGGGCUUAACCCUGGGCUGGCUUCCGAUACGGGCAGACUAGAGGUAUGCAGGGGAGAACGGAAUUCCUGGUGUAGCGGUGAAAUGCGCAGAUAUCAGGAGGAACACCGGUGGCGAAGGCGGUUCUCUGGGCAUUACCUGACGCUGAGGAGCGAAAGCAUGGGGAGCAAACGGG
RNAcentral lists this ribosomal RNA (253 nucleotides) under uncultured bacterium. RNAcentral describes it as "partial 16S ribosomal RNA". It matches the Rfam family "Bacterial small subunit ribosomal RNA", at positions 524 to 776 of the family's 1533-position model. The record is from RNAcentral.